This 221-nucleotide long non-coding RNA is filed under the name Homo sapiens (human). RNAcentral's name for it is "non-protein coding SGO1-AS1:15". Lineage: Eukaryota; Metazoa; Chordata; Mammalia; Primates; Hominidae. The record is from RNAcentral.
AGUCUGACAGCUUCAAAUGUCCCGGGUUGUGCUCAAAGCCUCCCUCUUGUGAGAAGAAUCUCUUUGGUUGCCUGUUAAAGCGGUCAGCCAGCUUGCAACACGGAAGCAGCUUUUAGAGGAAUUAAAACCAAAACAAGGAGCAAAUUCUGGAUUAAAAAGAUAUUUGCAACCAUUCUUCCAAUCAAUUUUAGAAAAUUUCCACCACCUCAAAAAGAAAUCCU